UAUAAAGUCUGACCUGCCCAAUGAGGAUUUGAAUGGCCGCGGUAUUUUGACUGUGCAAAGGUAGCAUAAUAAUUAGUUUUUUAAUUAAAAGCUAGAAUGAAUGGUUGGACGAGGGAAUUUCUGUCUUAAUUUAAAUUGAAUUAGAAUUUUAUUUUUAAGUAAAAAAGCUUAAAUGUAUUUAAAAGACGAGAAGACCCUAUAGAGUUUUAUAGUUUUUAUAUUAAUUAUUUUAAAGUGUGAAUUUAUUACUAUAGUAACUAUUUUAUUGGGGUGAUAGAAAAAUUAAUUUAACUUUUUUUUUGUAUUAAAACAUUGAUUUAUGAUUGAAUGAUCCAUUAUUUAUGAUUAUAAGAUUAAAUUACCUUAGGGAUAACAGCGUAAUUUUUUUUUAGAGUUCUUAUCAAGAGAAAAGUUUGCGACCUCGAUGUUGGAUUAAAAUAAAUAUUUGGUGUAGAAGCUGAAUAGUUAGGUCUGUUCGACCUUUGAAAUUUUACA
RNAcentral lists this ribosomal RNA (495 nucleotides) under Camenta sp. DA4057. RNAcentral's name for it is "partial 16S large subunit ribosomal RNA". It matches the Rfam family "Bacterial large subunit ribosomal RNA", at positions 1844 to 2600 of the family's 2925-position model. Lineage: Eukaryota; Metazoa; Arthropoda; Insecta; Coleoptera; Scarabaeidae. The record is from RNAcentral.